This 405-nucleotide ribosomal RNA is filed under the name uncultured bacterium. RNAcentral describes it as "partial 16S ribosomal RNA". It matches the Rfam family "Bacterial small subunit ribosomal RNA", at positions 30 to 526 of the family's 1533-position model. The record is from RNAcentral.
AUUGAACGCUGCGGCAGGCUUAACACAUGCAAGUCGAGCGAGCGGCGGACGGGUGAGUAAUGCUUAGGAAUCUGCCUAUUAGUGGGGGACAACAUCUCGAAAGGGAUGCUACUACCGCAUACUAUUAGUUGAUCCUAAGUCGUAUUGGCUAGUGGGUGGGGGUAAGUCCUACCAAGGCGACGAUCUGUAGCGGGUCUGAGAGGAUGAUCGGCCACACUGGGAAUGAGACACGGCCCAGACUCCUACGGGAGGCAGCAGUGGGGAAUAUUGGGCAAUGGGGGGAACCCUGAUCCAGCAAUGCCGCGUGAGUGAAGAAGGCCUUAGGGUUGUAAAGCACUGUAGGCGGGGAGGCGUUACUCGAAGAGUAAGCGACGGCUAACUCCGUGCCAGCAGCCGCGGUAAUAC